This 534-nucleotide ribosomal RNA is filed under the name Clostridium sp. enrichment culture clone M9C5. Its description in RNAcentral is "bacterial SSU rRNA". It matches the Rfam family "Bacterial small subunit ribosomal RNA", at positions 338 to 896 of the family's 1533-position model. Lineage: Bacteria; Bacillati; Bacillota; Clostridia; Eubacteriales; Clostridiaceae. The record is from RNAcentral.
CCUACGGAGGCAGCAGUGGGGAAUAUUCACAAUGGGCGAAAGCCUAUGCAGCAACGCCGCUGAGUGAUGAAGGCCUUCGGGUCGUAAACUCUGUCCUCAAGGAAGAUAAUGACGGUACUUGAGGAGGAAGCCCCGGCUAACUACGUGCCAGCAGCCGCGGUAAUACGUAGGGGGCUAGCGUUAUCCGGAUUUACUGGGCGUAAAGGGUGCGUAGGUGGUUUCUUAAGUCAGGAGUGAAAGGCUACGGCUCAACCGUAGUAAGCUCUUGAAACUGGGGAACUUGAGUGCAGGAGAGGAAAGUGGAAUUCCUAGUGUAGCGGUGAAAUGCGUAGAUAUUAGGAGGAACACCAGUAGCGAAGGCGGCUUUCUGGACUGUAACUGACACUGAGGCACGAAAGCGUGGGGAGCAAACAGGAUUAGAUACCCUGGUAGUCCACGCCGUAAACGAUGAGUACUAGGUGUCGGGGGUUACCCCCCUCGGUGCCGCAGCUAACGCAUUAAGUACUCCGCCUGGGGAGUACGCUCGCAAGAGUG